UUUAUGGAGAGUUUGAUCCUGGCUCAGAGUGAACGCUGGCGGCGUGCCUAAUACAUGCAAGUCGAACGAUGAAGCUUUUUAGCUUGCUAGAAAGUGGAUUAGUGGCGCACGGGUGAGUAAUGCAUAGGUUAUGUGCCCCAUAGUCUGGGAUAGCCACUGGAAACGGUGAUUAAUACCGGAUACUCCUUACGAGGGAAAGUUUUUCGCUAUGGGAUCAGCCUAUGUCCUAUCAGCUAGUUGGUGAGGUAAUGGCUCACCAAGGCUAUGACGGGUAUCCGGCCUGAGAGGGUGAACGGACACACUGGAACUGAGACACGGUCCAGACUCCUACGGGAGGCAGC
This 341-nucleotide ribosomal RNA is filed under the name Candidatus Helicobacter avistercoris. Its description in RNAcentral is "bacterial SSU rRNA". It matches the Rfam family "Bacterial small subunit ribosomal RNA", at positions 1 to 352 of the family's 1533-position model. The record is from RNAcentral. Lineage: Bacteria; Pseudomonadati; Campylobacterota; Epsilonproteobacteria; Campylobacterales; Helicobacteraceae.